UAGGGGGGCCCAGCUGGGCGGUGCCGCUCGGCCGGCGCGACUCAACGACGGCCAGCCUGACCGAGGCGAACGCCGACCUCCCAGCUCCCUUCUUAACCCUGGACGGGCUCGUCAUGGCGUUCGACAAGAAGAAGCUAAACCCGCGUGACCUCACGGCGUUAUCCGGCGCGCACACUAUCGGCUUCUCUCAGUGCCUCAACUUCCGCGACCACAUCUACAACGGCACCAACAUCGACCCGGCAUUCGCCACACUGCGCAAGCGUACCUGCCCCGCCCAGCCCCCCAACGGCGACAUGAACCUGGCGCCGUUCGACGUGCAGACGCAGCUCGUCUUCGACAACGCCUACUACCGCAACCUGGUCGCCAAGCGCGGCUUGCUGAACUCCGACCAGGUGCUCUUCAACGGCGGCUCACAGGACGCGCUGGUGCGCCAGUAUAUCGCCAACCCGGCGCUCUUCGCCUCCGACUUUGUGACGGCGAUGAUCAAGAUGGGGAACAUCACACCGCUGACUGGAACCGCCGGCCAGAUUAGGCGCAACUGCAGGGUCGUCAACAGCUGAUUCGUCCAUCGUCUCGCCAUAUAUACGUGUUACAUAUGGGCGUAAAAUGAGUGCGUAAAGUUAGGUUGGUUACGUCUACGUAGUAAUCACCUAGCAUGCAUGGCAGAAUAAGCGGCAAUGCUACACGUACAAACAAUUUACAGGCUUUUACAGGAUGGUUGACCUUGAUUGGUCAAUAGGUGAGCGGGGCGGCCCACCCCCCUGAAAAUUAGGUGGGAGAGAUUUGUGAUUGGUUGUUAGAUGGAACGAGCGUGUAAAAGCGUGUAAGUCUUUGUAUGUCUAGCAUUUUUGCAGAAUAAGAGCCGUUUGGUUCAGAUAAUGCCUGGAUUGAGUAACCUUCCAACUCCAGGGUUGUAAGAUACAUGCUUCAUCAUGUAAGUAUCUCCGAUCGUAUGCAUGCAGUGCUAUAAUGGAAACCAA
Molecule: long non-coding RNA, 980 nt
Filed under: Triticum aestivum (bread wheat)
Lineage: Eukaryota; Viridiplantae; Streptophyta; Magnoliopsida; Poales; Poaceae
Description: long non-coding RNA (TAES_LNC011231)
Source: RNAcentral